Molecule: transfer RNA, 68 nt
Filed under: Phycisphaerales bacterium
Lineage: Bacteria; Pseudomonadati; Planctomycetota; Phycisphaerae; Phycisphaerales
Description: tRNA-Val
Rfam family: tRNA
About the family: Transfer RNA (tRNA) molecules are approximately 80 nucleotides in length. Their secondary structure includes four short double-helical elements and three loops (D, anti-codon, and T loops).
Source: RNAcentral
GCGUAGCUCAACUGGUCAGAGCACCGGGAAACACCCGGUUGUUGCCGGUUCGAAUCCGGCCGCACCCA